CCUACGGGUGGCUGCAGUGGGGAAUAUUGGACAAUGGGCGCAAGCCUGAUCCAGCAAUGCCGCGUGUGUGAAGAAGGCCUUCGGGUUGUAAAGCACUUUUAUCAGGAGCGAAAUCUGCAUGCUUAAUACGUGUGCAGUCUGACGGUACCUGAGGAAUAAGCACCGGCUAACUUCGUGCCAGCAGCCGCGGUAAUACGAAGGGUGCAAGCGUUAAUCGGAAUUACUGGGCGUAAAGGGUGCGUAGGCGGUUGUUUAAGUCUGUCGUGAAAUCCCCG
RNAcentral lists this ribosomal RNA (275 nucleotides) under uncultured Rhodanobacter sp. RNAcentral's name for it is "partial 16S ribosomal RNA". It matches the Rfam family "Bacterial small subunit ribosomal RNA", at positions 338 to 605 of the family's 1533-position model. Lineage: Bacteria; Pseudomonadati; Pseudomonadota; Gammaproteobacteria; Lysobacterales; Rhodanobacteraceae. The record is from RNAcentral.